RNAcentral lists this long non-coding RNA (385 nucleotides) under Lynx pardinus (Iberian lynx). The record is from RNAcentral. Lineage: Eukaryota; Metazoa; Chordata; Mammalia; Carnivora; Felidae.
UGCAGGCCUCUAAGUGCACAGGAGGGAGUAGCAGGGGUGGGUCCCAUUUGCAUGAGCAGCCCCUCCUUUCGAGCUCUGUGGACUGGGGAUAAGAGAGGCCCAGGGCAGCCCAGCCCCGGCUCUGAGGUCUAGGAAGGGCGUGCGUCACGAUGGCCUGGAUCCCCGUCCUCAUCGUGCUCCUCUGCCACUACACAGGUAGGGACAGGACCCAGUGUCCCAGGGUGGGCCUGCAGCCAGAGUGAAACCCCUGUGGCUCAGCUCCCUAAUCCCAUGUGCGCUGUUCCUUCUCUUCCCUCUGCUGUGUCUGUGUUUGCAGGUUCCCUGUCGCAGCCUGUCGUGACUCAGCCAGCCUCCCUCUCUGCAUCUCUGGGAGCCACAGCCAGAC